CAGUAGCCGCGGUAAUACAGAGGGUGCGAGCGUUAAUCGGAUUUACUGGGCGUAAAGCGUGCGUAGACGGCUUUUUAAGUCGGAUGUGAAAUCCCUGAGCUUAACUUAGGAAUUGCAUUCGAUACUGGGAAGCUAGAGUAUGGGAGAGGAUGGUAGAAUUCCAGGUGUAGCGGUGAAAUGCGUAGAGAUCUGGAGGAAUACCGAUGGCGAAGGCAGCCAUCUGGCCUAAUACUGACGCUGAGGUACGAAAGCAUGGGGAGCAAACAGGAUUAGAUACCCCAGUAGUCCCUGUCUCUUAUAC
RNAcentral lists this ribosomal RNA (301 nucleotides) under uncultured bacterium. Its description in RNAcentral is "partial 16S ribosomal RNA". It matches the Rfam family "Bacterial small subunit ribosomal RNA", at positions 509 to 807 of the family's 1533-position model. The record is from RNAcentral.